RNAcentral lists this ribosomal RNA (483 nucleotides) under uncultured soil bacterium. RNAcentral describes it as "bacterial SSU rRNA". It matches the Rfam family "Bacterial small subunit ribosomal RNA", at positions 26 to 516 of the family's 1533-position model. The record is from RNAcentral.
AGAAUGAACGUUGGUGGCGUGGAUUAGGCAUGCAAGUCGUGCGAGAAGGGGCCGCAAGGCCCCGGACAGCGGCGAACGGGGUAGUAAGGCGUCGGUACGUGCCCAAGGGUCCGGGAUAGCGGCGGGAAACUGCCGGUAAUACCGGAUGACCUCUUCGGAGCAAAGGUGUGAUUCCGCCCGUGGAGCGGCCGACGUGGUACCAGCUAGUUGGUGAGGUAACGGCUCACCAAGGCUCAGACGCCUAGGGGGUGUGAGAGCAUGGCCCCCACACUGGGACUGAGACACUGCCCAGACACCUACGGGUGGCUGCAGUCGAGAAUCUUCGGCAAUGGGCGCAAGCCUGACCGAGCGACGCCAGUGCGGGAUGACGGCCCUCGGGUUCGUAAACCGCGUGGUCGGGGGGAUGGAAGGUCGACCGGGGCGAACGUCCCCGGUGUUGACAGACGCCCGGAGGAAGCGCGGCGUAAGUACGUGCCAGCAGCC